UUUGUAAAAAAGAAAAAAAUAAAGUAAAAAAAAAAAAAAAAAAAAAAAAAAGGACAUUGCCAUUUCACUACAGGAGUCAGUCCUUGAUCUUUUCUUAAUGCUGCGAAAUGGGCCUUACUGUCUUACAUAUUAGAAUGACUUUACUGUGAUAUUAACUGAAAAGUUCAGUGGUUGUUGAGGGAUUUUUUUUUCCUUCUGUCCUACUUGAUAAGAAUGAAUGUUCCCCCUGAAAGUGUGUGGAAAAAUAGUUCACUUUACAGAGUUCUGCUGAACAAGCAGGACUGCAAUAGUCUUCCUCAAAAUUAAAUACCAACUACUCCUGCUGUUCAUAUGUGACACACUUAUUUGCAUUUGCUCUGAUCUUUUGCCCAAUUAAAAAGCAGGAACUGAAUAGGAUUUAAUUACAGGCUUAUUUAAGUUUUCUUUUACGCAGACAGUUGUGGAGUUUAUUUAUCUGAGUAAAAUUUCUGAAACGUGGUCCCUUCUGCUGCAUGUUUUCUCUUUUUAGAAAGAGAUGCCUAGCCACUGAUUUUUGGUUUGUUGGUCUUCAGUUCAUUUCCUUCUAAUGGAAGCCAACAUUUAGCAUAAUGACACCAGGCUCUCUUUGUCAUAAUGAAAAUAAUGAAUUAGAUGAUAAUGAAUUAGAUGUAGCUCUAGCAAAAUUUUUUGCAUACUGAUUUACUUUUUUCUGAGGCACUCCGAUUUAUAGAGUACUGUUUUGUGUUAAGGAAUUCUUUUUUACCAGAGUCUGAGGGACAUAAGAUUAGAUUAUGUUCAUCUUUCUACUGAUAGAUUGAGUUUUUCAUCCCUCCUCAGAAGAAACUGUUGCUUCUGACUUUUAUUAUUUUGUUAUUUUUGGAUUAUUUGGAUUUAUACAUAGAAGAUUAUUAUUUCAUCAUCCAUAAAUGGUUUUAUUUGUGGCUUAAAUAGUUCAAUUAGCAUCAAGAACAAACAUAAGUUUUCAGCUAUUUUUAAAAGGAAAAAAUUUCAAAUUAAAUUUGUAUUUGCUUUUCAUGUUGUGGUGAUUUUUUCAUUCACAGGGAGUGUGCACCAGAAAUGCUAGCCUAUGUCCACAGGACAAGUUGCCUGAUGGUGAUCAAAGAGUGGACUCAAUACGAUAAAAUUGUGUUACUAGAUGAGAUUUUUCCUAACUUCUGAUCAGGAGGUGAGGUUUUUUUUUCUAGUCCUUUCUGGCCUGCAGAAUUAGUUCUAUAGAUUUCUAGUACUAAGUGUAAGUAACUGUAGGAUUAAAUGUAAAUAAAUAUAGAAAUCAGCUUAUGUGAAAUACAAAGGAGCUUUUUAAAAACAGUGAUUGUAAAAGAAAACAAAUCUGGUUAUGAGGUGACAGUUGGGAAGCGCUUUUUUUUUAUAUUCACGUUCAAGAGAGAUUAAAGUAUUUUUGUUUGUAAAUACAUGUAUAUACUCAUAAAGAGAUGUGAAAACAGAGAAAGUAUCUUAACCACAGAAUAUGUUUCCACUGAUUUUCAUCUGUUUUCUUCAGUGACAAAUCCACAUGAUUAUCCCUGUUGGGAUUGCAGGCUAGUAUUGGUACGGAAAAACGAGCUGUUUGCCAUAUUACUUGAUAAGUUAACUCAGGUUAGUUAGCCUGGUUAUUUUGUGCAGGGGACAGGUGCUUAGCCUCUGGCAAAACUAAUAGUGAAAAAAAUCCUCUUUUAAUGUUCCCAAAACCACUCAGUGGAAUUUAAUUUGUUAUCAUUUUAAGAGAUCAAUUCUACUCUUUAUCACCAAGGAGUUCUAUGACAAUUAACCAUCCAAUUGGAUACAAUUUUGUUUCACAUUUACAUAUUUUUUUUUUCUAUUUAAGCCAGUGGUAAGUCUUGAAGGUGUUGUGUUCCAGAUGAUACAAAUAUAUUUUUCUAUUUAUAGUUUUUUAGUUUAGCUAUAGCAGAAAUGAAUGCUCAGUCCUUUGCAGGUCUUAAGUAUCCAUUUCUCUUAUGCUAGAGAAUAUACUGGCUAUAUUAGAGAAAAAAUACUUUAAACCUGAAGGAAGUGGGGACGGGAAAUACUAGAGACUGCUGUGAAAGAACAUUCACAAAUGUAUGUGGUCUUAAACAACAUCAACAAAAAACAAUAGAGAGAGGAGGAACAAAAGCCCUGUUCUUUUGCUACGUAACAAAUUAAAAAUAACCUGUUAAUUGAAUUGGCAGAUCAUCUUGGAAAGAUAACGCUUUUGUUACAGUAGUUGGUAACCUCUGGAAAAAGAAAUAGUUUCCUGGAAUUAGUUUAGAUUCUUAUCCUAACAUUCCUAAUCCAUAAGUGGCUAUUUUCUGCCUUCUGUUGUUAGUCUUCUGUAAACCCCACUUCCCUCUCAAUUUAUUUUGUUUUGACGUGUCUUGUGAUUCUGUGGUGAGAAACCUUUCACGUGCAAUGAAAAAAAUAUCUGCUGAAGUAGUCUUCUGUGCAUUCUUAAGUGCUAGAAUGUAAUGUCCUUCAUUUUGUUUUGCUGUGUUAGACUACUACGGUAUGUCAUUUGAAUACAUAAUUUUUGCAGCUAUUUUAUCCGUUUUGAACUUCUAUCUAUAUGUUAAUCUCUGCAAAUGGAUAAUCUGAAAGAAAACAGUACUUGUUUUGCAACGGUGGUGACAGAACAUUUUUGGAACUGAAGUGUAUCAUGACUAUUGGGAGUUGGAAGAGAACCUUUUGGUUUGCAGCAUGAUGCUUUGCUAUCUUCAAGCACAAGGGUAAAAUCUAUCUUUGUACAGAAGGUCAAUGUAAGUCUUGUUUACCACUUGAUCAGAAAGUCCACCAUGAUGGAAAAUAGAUAUUGCUCUGCUGACUUCAUGGGAGCAAACUAAUGUCUGAGAUUCUCUCAGAAACUUAAAGGGAUGCAGGUCUUUGAAAGUUCAAGUGGAGAACAUACUUUUAGCCCUGUCUUUUGCAUAAGACUGAAUUUUACUGCAGGCUUAUGAAUUAUCCUACAUAAAAGGCCAUCCUUCAUCAGAUUUUACCAUAUGGUUAAAACAUAUAUACAUAUUUUUUCUGUUACUUCCAGGCACUGUGAAGCAGCUGGUAUUAAUGAAUAAAAAUAGCCAGCAAAAUCAUGGCAUGUGGUUGCUGGAAGGAACAAUUUAUAGCCAGGAAUCUUGUAGGUUACUUGAAGGAAGAAGAAAGGAGCAACCCCAAAACAUGUGACCUCUGAAAACAUGGAUGAUCUCUAAGUAUAAUUUGUAUUUUGGGCACCUGUACUACUCAAGGCAACGUAAUAUGAAACUAAGUAGAAAAUAGUAAUUCAAUUCCUUCUGCUAAAAGUUAUAAGGAAGGGAAUCGAAGACUGCUGGGUGUGAUAGCUUUGAGUUUUGUUUUCAAGCAAACACUAUUGCCAUAGUUUCCUUUCAUGCUGACCACUGUAUCAAGAUAUUUGAACCUAUUGGAGAGAUUUGAAAGAGAAGCGGUUGUGCCUUUUGUCUUUCAAAAUAAAUCGGAUAUAACUUAAAGGUGUGGAUCUAAUAAACAAAACUGUGAGAUUUAGUAAUAUUUUUUUCAUAGCGCUGGGUUACAUUUUUACCUUUCUGAAAAUAAAGUGGAUCUGCCUUUAUUUACUAUAAGUAAUGACAAACUAUAAGAUUGCUCUGUUACAGAAAAUGACAUUUGCAGACUUUAGUGUUUCAUAACUAAUAGUUACCAAGCUCAGUGGAUAAGCAGCAAAUGUUAUACAUUCAUUAAGGCCUUGCUUUUUUUUUUUUUUUUUUUUUUUUUGCUUUGUUUUUCUAUGGGACAAGAAGUUGAUCAUUUAUUUUCUGUAAGGGCAGUGGUUCAAACAGUGAAAAAGCCAAUAUAGAAUGAAAAUUCUGUAGGGUGGGAAAGCUAAAAAGUAUUCUGCCAUUGUAGUGAGAAAAAUAUUGAGACUUAAUUUGCAGUGUGUAGCAGAAAUGCUAAGUUACGGCUUGAAGCAGUGAUUGAGCACCUGGGCCAACCCAGGGGAGCUCAGGUGCAUGUAAUGUACCUGAGUAAUCAGAAGGGGUGGAUCCUGGCUCCACCCCUUCCCAGACCACAUUUAAGGGUUGGCAGUGGGUGCAAGGGUAUUUUGCUCUGGAGAUUUCUGCAUACCUGAGGCCUUCUGAAGGUAAGCAGUGUUUUUCCUUCAUUUUUGCAUCCAUGGCUACUGCAUUUCAGCUUCUUCUCCUUUGCUGUAGCCAGGGACUUUGCUGCCUUACUAUUAUUGUGAUGGAAAGCACAACAAUAUAGUGUUACACAGUCAGAUGAUAACGGCUAGUGUAUUUCCUAAUUUUUCUAAGUAGUGAGCAGCAGCUGGAAAGAGGAGGGAGAGAAUAGUUCUGUAGAACUUCCAUAGAACUGGAAAGAUUAAUGUCAAAUGCAAUCUUAGGUUUCCACAGAAGGAGAGAGAUGAUGCCAAAAAAAUCAGAAUAGUAUUGUAAUAAACUUAGAAGCAGAAAGCAUUUUACAGAAAGGUGUAGUAUUCCAUCUGUCAUUUGAGUUAGGUUUAAGCUGGUGAUGAGCAGAGGUUUUUGAUCUAGAGAGAUACGCAGCAACAGUUAGUGUCUCAAAGCUAGUCAAAGAAAUUCAGAUAUAUAGCUGUAUUUUUUUUUUAAGUGGUUAUGGUUGCAAAUUGGAACAAAUUACCUAGAGGAGCAAUUGUUUCUUUGUUUUGUUUUCAUAUGUUUGAUAUAGGAGUAUCCAUGUGAAAUACAUGGGAGGGAAGGACUACACAGACUUGCACUGUGUGGACUAGGCCCACAGGAGGGACCUUCUGCAGAAUAUAUUAAUCUGCUCUCUGGCUUAUCCUGAAGAAGUUCCUAGAUUGUAUAUGGUGCACUGGCACUAUAAUGACAAAGAAAUGUGACUUGCAGAAGCAUUAAUCUCUAACCGAAUUCUUCUUCCUUAAAAGGUUGAAGGAAACAUAAGUAGGCUAAUGAUCUCAAAGAGGAGCAAUGUAUUUCCUGAUGAUGCUUGAUGGAUUUGUGAACUCCAGAAAAGCCAAUAGGAAUAAAUGUCUGGUGGUUUUGUGGCUUUAUUACAGAAAAAUUAUUGGAAUAUGGAAAUCAUAAACAGCAGUAGUUGAGGCUCUGUGAUUCUUUUGGCAGACAGGCAAUUCUAGUGAGAACUCCAGUUUCGUGAUUAUAACUCCAAAACUAUUUAAAGUCUUCUAAUUAAUUUCAAAAGACAAUGCUGCUUACUAUUGUUAAAUUUAGCUUUUAGCUUACCCACUAUUGUUGCUAAUGGCAUAUUAAAAACUUGAACAUACAUAUAUUAUUAACUGGUAUUAUCAAUUAUGCCUUUGUCUGGCAAAUAAGGAAUUCAUAAUGCAUGCAAAGUGGUCCUAAUGUACUGCUUUCAUUUUGUGCUGGAAAGGGCUGAUCACUUAUAAUUUUUGCUGACUGCCAGUAAUUUGCUGUGGAUGUCAGAUGUACUUUAUUGAGUAAAGAACAGUACUCAGGAGAGGCAUAGCUUGAUUUUAGCAAAGGACUUAUGGAGAUGGAAGAUGCUUUUAGUUAAGCUCUCUGCGAAAGUUGAUCAUAACAAAAGAUGUAAUUGCGAAGACCAAAAUAAUGACUAUGAGACUAUUAGUCUUUCUUGUAACAGGAUGCAAGACUAGCCUAGAACAAAAAAUAUCUUGUAGUUUAUAAAGAUGGAAAUAAACAACUGUGGUAGUGAGGGACUUUAAAACCUCUUAGAGAAGAAGUGUUUGCAGAAUUGCUGCAUUUUUGCUAAGCGAAUUUAAUUCCUGAGUUCCCACAUAUGAGGCUUUUCUAAUUAUACCCAGCUGAAAUUUAGCAACCAGAGCUGGCAGCUGGCAUGCUUUUUUUGUUGUUGUUGCUGGAGAAAGGUUUGGAACAUUUCAUUUUUGGAAAGUCCUUACCCAUAAACUGCAAAUUAUUCCUCAUUGUGGCUUUAAAAAAAAAAUCCUUUAUAUCAAGUAGUGUAAUGCUUCCUCUCAAUAUACUCUUGAUACUAAUUAAUUAAAUGAAGCUGCUGCAUUACAACUUGUAGUAUACAAGAUGUAUUCUAGUGGAAAAAGUGAUUCACUCAGAGGUGCAGGCUUGCAAGCUGGCUGUAGACAGCACUGAUGUUAACACAGAUGGAGCACACUGCCCAGUGGAAACUACUGGCUUGCAAGUUCUUAUUUAUAUUUAUAUUACCAUAUAUUCAUGGUACGUUACCCCUUCUUCAAAAGGACUAAUCUGAGUUAAGAGUGCUCCUUUGUGGUUCUUUCAGACUAGCACAAGCAUUCAGGAUCACAGGGUUGCUAUUUAAAGAAUAGAUCAUUAACUGGUUGAAAAUGAAAUGUGUAUAAAAUCGCACUGAUUCUCAUCAAAUGGAUGUAUGUACCAGAUCAUUGCUUACAUUUUGUCUUUCUGAAUUGGUAUUAAUUAUCUUGUUCCAUGCAGUUGCCCACAUGUGCUAGUUGCCCAAAUGUGCUGUUCUUUGUAGAAAUCAUGAACUUAAGCAUAAAAUAUUCUAUGCCUUCUUAUGCAGAAUAUUAGGAUAUAUAUAAAAAUUUCUACAUAAAAAGAUCUUAAUUUAUAUCAAUUUUCAUAAAUAUAUACACUGUUUAUACUUUUAAAGUGUGUUAACUUAAUAUCUCUCAUAUCUCUCUUCUUUGUAUUUGAUAUGCUAGAAUAUCCAUCCAGGGUGUAUGGGAUAUUAUAUCUAUUCAUGCUUUUAAACUGAUAUCUGACGUUUCAAGAUGGCAUGUACCAUAAAAUCUUACAAGAGGUGCUGUUAUGUCAAUUUGUUGAGGAUGAUAGCAGUUACAGAAAUCUCUAUAGCUAUUCUGUUCUGGCAUGCAUUGCGCAUGCCUGCUGAAAUGAGUACAGUGUAGCUCCCCCUAAAGGGAGCCAACUAGAAAGCUCGAGGGGGACUCUUUUAUCAGGAGUGUAGUAACAAGACAAAGGAUAACAGAUUUAAACUGAAAGAGAGUAGGUAUAAAUUAGAUGCAAGGAAUAAAUUCUUUACUCAGAGUGGUGAGACUGGCACAGGCUGCUUGGGGAAGCUGUGGCUGCCCCAUCCGUGGAGGUGUUCAAGGCAAGGUUGGAUGGGGCCCUGGGCAGCCUGAUCUGGUGGGGGGGGUGGCAAACAGAGGGUUGGAACUGGAUAAUCUGUAAGAUCCUUUCCAAAUCAAAUCAUUUUGUGAUUCUGUAUUUUGAUUUAACUGGGAAGCAGUCUGCCAAAAACUUACAGCUCUAUUUUCAAUACAGUAGGAGAACAGAAUACUGCAAGAUAAGAAAAUAUGAUGGUAGUAAGGCAUCCUAUGAUGAAAACUAAAUGCCAAGAACAUUUGGUAUCCUGCCCUCAGAACUAUAAGCUUUUUGAAUUCCUUUCUUCUUUCGAUGCUUGAAAGAAGUCUGAACUGUCACUGACCCCAGGAGAAAGGUCUGAGAAGUUUUGCUUAAUCUCAAUAAGUAAUGCUGGGUACACUGUAGGAACUGGUCAGAGGUUUACAUAAACAGCAUCUGGGUCUAUUAAUUUCACUAUAACAAGCACAGGGCUUUUUGUUCAUUAAAUGUUUUGGAGAACAUAUUUGUUCUAUAACAUGCAAAAUUUAAAAGCUAGCAGAAUAUGUAGUCUUUUCUGAUAGAGAAAUUUCAUACAAUUAAGAUGAUUUUAAAAGCAUGUUGUAAGGGCUUCCUAAAUUUUUAAUGACUAAUGGAAGCUUUCUCUUUUUUUUUUUAAGUUUGGAUGAGGACAAUUGAAACCGUUCCCCAGAAGGCCUUUCUUUUAAAAAGAGUUUCUUUAUAAAUUCCUCCUGUGUCUUGGUAUUAUGUAAGCUAAUGAGUCCCUGAACUAUAAUAAAUACUGGUUAGCUGACCUUUUUAAACAACAGUUCAAAUAGUUUGGUUUCAACCCAAAGCUAUUUGUAAAUUGCUCUUAUUUAUUAUUCACAUUGAGUCAAUUCAUUUUCCAUAAAAAUGAGAUUAUUAAGAUCUGACAUUAGGCUGAGAAGUAAAGAUACCAGACUCAUUACUGGUCUCACAAUGGCAGCGUAGCCCCAGUAACAUACGUAACAGUGAUAAAAUUGUAGUUUGUAUAUUCUAAGGACAUUUGUAGACUCUGAAUCUUUGCCUAUUCAUCUUUUUACAAUUUGAGACCUCUGCUUCAAAAUUCAAGAAAAUUGAAACAAAAAAACAAAACAGACUAAUAGAGUUCUAAGACAACAGUAAAGGAAAACACUAGGAACUCUCACCAAAAUUCCUUCUUAAUGUUAUAAAUAUAGUUAACUCCCUGUGGUUGGUUGGGUUGGUUUGGUUUUCUUGAUUUUUAUUUAGGGUUAAGUGACAACUAUGCCAGAAAGGAUCUGGCACUUCUGAUGGACAAGGAGAAAAUGAGUCAGGAGAUCUGGCCUUGCAUUAACAUUCCCCGGGAGCAAGUCCCGGAGAAGGCCACCAGGAUGGUCAGAGAAUGAACACAUGAAGUAUAAGGAGUGGUUGAGGGUGCUGAUUUUUUUUUUUUUUUUCCCCUGGCCUUUAAGUGAAAGCUAAAGGGAGACUUUGUUACUUUCUACAGCUAUCUAAUGGGAGGUUUUGGAGAAGACAGAGGCAGGCUUCUACUGGAGGUACACAGCAAAUAAUAGGAGGCAAAACUAUUUGCAACAAGGGGAACUGUAAUUAGGAAAAAAACAUUGUCAGAGUAGUUAAAUAAUAGAAAAAAAUUGGCUAGAGAAUAGGUGGAACUUCAUUCUUUAAGAUAUUCAAAAUGCAACUAGUCAAGGUCCUGAAUAAACUGCUUUCAAGAGAGUUGAAUCAAAUGUGCUCUGGAGGUCUGUUUCAUCCUAAAUUAUUCCAUGAACCUUGGAGGGGAAAAUGAAAGAAUGAAAGGUUUUAAUACUGGAGAAAAGACAAAAAUCUGAUUGCUCUGAUGAAAAUUAAUUGCUUGUUGUGAUGUUAAAACUUAUCCAUGAGAGAAUUUGGAUAUUUUUUUGCAGAACGUGCUUUGGGAUAAAAUUACUUUUCUUUGUUCUGAAAAAGCUGCAUGUGUAACUUUCCACCUGUAUUAGACAAGAAAAAAUAUUUCUUUGUAUUGUAUUACCUGCCUCCUCUACAGAAAAACAUCUGUUCUGUGGGAGUUACCACAUUACUGUUUCUUCAUUAAUCUUCAUUUUCCAGUGGUGGGGAAAAAAGAAAACCAACACUUUCAGGAAAAGCUAAAGAAAGAAUAUUGGAUCUCAGUUGUUUUCCUCACUGUAGCCUUUCCCUUUAAGGAGGAAAGCUAUCUUUGCAAAGUAGAAGAGGAAAGGUUUUGAGGUCAGAGAUUGCUCAGUAUUAGCAGACCUUACACUUCCUGUGAUUUACAAAAAAUAUUCUCAAAUGUAAAAUCUAGCCUUGAGCUUAAUGACUAUAGUAAACAUUGUAUUAAUCUAAAUUUUUGAAUAAAGUAAAUGUGAAAUGAUUAAGAGACAUGGCAUGUGUAGUUUCCAUGAAGUAGGAAAAAAGACAUGAGUUUAGAAUCUUGAGUUGUGGACAAAGGAAGGAAUCAGAAUCUGAAGAUGAUUUACUUUGGUUAUUGGACAUAUGAUCUUAUAUACCUGUAAUUAAAAUAUUAAGAAGUGAAUAUUUUGCUUCUUAUUUCCCACUAUAAACUCAUUCAGGAAGGGAAAGUACAGAAGUAACUCCCUUCACCUCUACUAUUUUUACAGGAAUGUGAAUAUCAAGUGUAUUUAAUGUCAGAGCCCAACUGUAUUGAAGAACUGUAUAAAGGAUGUUUUAUUUCAUUUUUCUUUGGGCCUUUUUUAUGAUUGUUUUUUUCCAGAUGCUUCCAUUCCAAAUAAAUGUCUAUGAACUUUCCUUUGGGCAGUCAGAAACCACUAAUGAGUUGUUAUAGCUGCUGUCAGACUACUACCUGUUUUCAACCAAAUUCCCAUAUUUUCUUGUUUCUUAAAAGCAUUUAAUCCCAAGCAGCACUGAAUAUUUUUUAUUUCUGAUGAAGCACUCAGCAUUGUGAAAAUCAACCUCAUAAAGAGAUCUGUAGGGCAUUACUAAUGUAUCUUCAAAAUGUCAACUAUAAACACAUUUGUGUCAUGAACAAUCAAAGACUUAGGUCUUGUACUCAUUCAUGUUAUAGAACAUGAAGCAAACCCAGGAAGACCACAUCCUAGCAUGACUACUCUAGGUUAGGAUGUAUUUUUCUUUUCUACUUAUUUCUGCUUCUUUGAAUGCCAUAAUUUGUUUCCUCAUUGGGUGGCUGACUCUGACUAACUGCUGUCAGGCAUAUGCUCUCUUCACUGCCACUUUCUUCUUGUUCCACAGACAGCUGAAUAAGUUGCAUGCCAGAAGCUUAUUGUGAGCUGGGAAGAGCAUGAAAGUGUCCUUUCUGGCUUUAUUUCAAUGUUUUAGCCAGAUCCUGAUGUUGGGUGGAACCCGGAAAGUAUUCACAUAGAAAAACAAUUAAGAAAAUACCAUGAACAGUAUUAAUUUGAUUUUAUUUUCUUAUGUGAAUUUAUCUGACUCAUUUCAGCAAUGUUUAUUUCAAAGACUCAAAUACUUAUUUUUUUUUCCCUUAAACUGGAUAAUGAAAAUAUUCCACUUGCCUUUUUUUUUUUGUAGGUACUAACCAAGCUGGAAGUAAAAACAAAUUAAUUCCUUAAAUUCAGUAGGAGGAAAUAGGUUUCAGAGUAAUGAAACUGGUUCUGUGUUGUAAAUAUUGUUCCCUCUUGCUGCAUAUAAUAUAGGUUGUUUUUUAUUUGUAACAAAAAAGCUAACAAUAAUUAUUCUAUGUUAAUCCAUGCUUUAAUAAAUGCCAUGUAUACUUAUUGUUACAGGUGAAUUGAUAGCUUUCAAGAUAAAUCAAACAGCUCUAACUAUGGUCAACCAGGAAUGAUAAAUAAUGCACAUAGAUAGCCUUUCUUCACUGGAGAACUGAAGGUUGCAUUUUGCUUAAGGAUAUUUCUCUUGAAACAGGAAGUUUGGUACAGCUACAGGGUAAGAAUGUUAAUAAAAAUGUUAAUAGAUUAAUUAGUUCUAACACUUACUGCAGUAGUUCCAAAUACAGUUGUAUAUAUCUUUCCAAGGUUCUUUAUAUUUGUUAUGAGAAGCAGACUUGCAUUGCAGUGCACAGACAAGGAACUCAAAAGCUAAAGGCAGACUUUAAUGUCAGUCUUCGCAUCAGAGAAGAAUUUACAAACAUGGCACUGCUCAUCAUCCAGAUUACAACUGGUCACCAAGUGAACUAGAAACAGUCUCUUCAGGAAUGAGAAUAUAAGGUUCAAUGUCUAUUGCUUUUUCCCAGCAAAUAGUGAAACCUUUCUAGAAAAGGUAAACCUGCUUGUCCAUUUUCAGACAAGUAUGUUUCAGAAGCACGAAGUCCAAGUAUGAGCUCAUCCCAUCCUGUGAGAUUGUUUUAGCAUACAUCUGCUGAUCAAUACUUAAAAAGGUUUUAAUGAUGUUGGGAGGAGGGUCAAACUUGAAACCAUCUUAAAACUUGGAGUUAGAUUAAGUAAAUUUGCAGAAUAACUUUAUUCUUGCUUUGUUUGGCUGUUGCUUCCUUAUUUGGGGUGUUCUGAUACAUUAUGUCAAUCAUUUUCCUGGUUGAGUUUUUGCUGGGUGGGUCAGAGAGUAAAUAGAAUAAUGCAUCAAAACUGUCUGUCUGGUAUUUAACAUCCCUAAACUAAGGCAAAACUGAGUUGUGAUUACACAGGAAGACAGGAGAUAUAGCACUUCAGCUAUCAGUUAUUCUGGCAUUAACUGAGGAACCAUGGAGAAUGUGUUGGGAAUGCUGUUGCAAAAAGUUUUAGCCACUUUUUACUGAGACUGAUAGCGUGCUGCUGAUGGAGAAGGAUUUAAAUAUAGAUGUUAUGCUGGUAAACUUUACAAUAUAAUUUAGAAGUAAGAAAUCUGAAGGAGAGAGGGGGAGUGAAGAAAAAGUAAAUCAUUCCCUGAACGGUGAGGUUCAUGUUGAUGUCAACAAGCCUUCUGGAUCAGUGCUGAUGAAUAGUUGUAAAUGAAGCUAUUAAGUUGUUUUGGAAAGAUUUUCUUGUUCCAUAGUGACUCUCAUGAAAGCAGGGAUCAAACCAUUUGCUUUUAUAUUUUCCCAGGAAACCUAUUUAUCCCACUCUCCCUUCUUCAAGUCAAUGGAAAGGUUUCUAGAAUGUCUUUCCACUGUCCUCAUUAUUUGCAUGGAGUUUCAUGUUACUUUACAAAUAAUAUGGGGAAUACUGAUUAAAUGAAAAGAUAGAAUUUAGUGAGUCAGAUAUAGUUUGUGAAGUUAUUGUCCAGAAUUACUUUUGUCCAUGUGUGUGUCCUCUAUUUACCACAAUUGUUCCUUGUACAGUGGUUUAUUUGUAUUGUGUGGGUUAAUUGAUAACAAAUACCAUUUGUGGCAUAGGUAAUAAGAAGCUUGGAACCAUCUUACUGUACCUUUUAAUGCCUGAAACCACCCCUCCAUCUGCUGCCUUCUCCCUUUUUCCCCCCCCCCGGCCACCCCCCCCAGAUACUACCAAACAAAAAAAAACCACAGAAACCAAGAAUGCUCCAAAACUUUUGACUGCAAUUGCAACUGCUUCAAGGCAAAAGAUGUAUAGCUAUGUCCCUCAGUCUCAUGUCAUAGUGCUCUGGGUAUGCUGUUCUCAUUCUAAACCUAGUGAAUGAAACCCAAAAAGGAAGGGCUCUCUUAUGAUUAAGAGCUAGGCGGGGUCUUGAAAGAAAUGGAUUUACUGCAUCAUUCCAUGUAACCUGGAGCAAGGCUCUGUGGACAGAUGUUCAGAGGUGCCUAGCUGAAUGGGAGGUAGCUGUCUGACAGGAUGGAGAGCUCAUGCUAUUUCUCUUCUACCAGAGCUAUUGCUUGUACUUUGUUGGAGAAUACACCUCAUCUUAGGCAUCUGCCUUCUACGUUUCCUUGUUUCUAGCCUUGCACUAUCUGUUGACUCCUUAUAAAUUGAAUUUUUCAUAUUAAAAUGCUCAGCUUUAUGCAUGAACGUGACCCCACUCUCCUGUAACUGCUAGCAAAUAAUGCAAAUAAUUAUUUAACAUGGUGAAAUUAAAAUUAUAUCUGGCAAGGUUAAUGCAGAGGAUAAAUGACUAUAUUAUUCCUGCCUCCUCAAUGGAUAAAUUGCACCACUUCUAUCAUACAUGAGUAUGUAGUUUGAACUAGUGAUGAUAAACUAGUGAAUUGUAUUAGUAUAUCAGUACCACAGUAAUAUCAUGGCUUUAAUUCAGUAGCUGUGUACUAGCACAGUAUUUACAAUGUCUUGAUUUCUAGAGCUUGGGCGGCCUGUACUUUGUAACUGCCCAUCUCUGCCUGUGUUAAAAGUCUCUCAAAACAGUGUGUCAAUACUUUACAUGUCAUUUCUUUCUGCCUCUAUAGGUGGUGCUGAUUCUAUCCCCUUGGCAAAGAUUUGCAUCUGAGCUGUUGCACUGAUGUGUUUGAUGCAGUUGUGCUGAUGAGAGCUGUGUUGAUGUAGAAGAUCAUGUAUCUCUGAUAAAUAUAUGCUCAGCUUUCCCCUGCCAUUUUUACCUGCAACUCUUCAAGAAGGUGUUGUUGCUUAUAAGGAUCAGGUUAUAAUUGUCUAUUGACAUCUGAUUGUCCAGAGGCUAGGCAGUAGAGGAAAAAAGAGGUUCCCUAAUACACCUGAAGCAGUACUACAGAGUCAUAUGAAACUGGUAUUAGUGUCAAAACAAGUUUUCAGUGUUGAAUGUUGCCUAUCAUUAGAAAUUGAUAUUAUAUUUACUGGAGGUUUUCUACUUGAAUGUAUUUGGUUGUUGCUUUAUCAGAGUCAACAUAAAUUAGCAGCACUGUUAGCCUUUAUAGUCAAAAGAGCAUUCAGUGUUUUUAAGAAACAUAAAGGGUUUAUUACAGUAUAUAUUUCCCACCUGAUUUCCCAUCUUGUUAUGGGAAGUCUUUGACUUCGGAGUUGACCCAGCUACCAGAUUUUCCUUAAAAUAAUUUGCUCGUGAAAGCAUGGCAGCUUGGAUCAUUCAUACUAUUAGAGAUGCUAUUAGUGGAUGCACCUCACUGAGCUGUUAUUGAAUCAUUGGCAAUUUGGAAAAUCUUUUUUUCAUUCAGCUCAAAACUAUUGGAGUAAAAGCAGUCUUUUUAUUGGGAUAGAAUUGCAUGUAAGACAUUCACCUAUCUGACAGUGCAGUAAAAUUUAUGUUUAAAAAAACUUAAUUUUGGUAAUUUGUGUUUCAAAAAUCUUAAAGGAAAUAAAUCUCCAGCCAGAAAACCAGUGUUCAGUUGUAGCACAAGAACGACUUGCCAAGCAAUCAGCUGAAGCAGGAGGUUCCAAUCUUGCAGAGCUUUAGGGGCUCCUGGCAGAGAGGACAACUCUUAUGUACGUGUUGACAAGUACAAGAUAAGCAAGCUUCCUACUUGCUGCAAUCUUGUCAGUUUAAUUACCCUCCAGUGGCCAUUUGUGAUAGCCACUUGGGAAGUCAGUACUGAGGAUGCAAGUUUAAGUCAGGUUCUGCUAGUUAUCAACUAAUUGCACAUUUUGGCAAAAAAAAAGCAGGGUCUGGCUUAAAAGAGGUGAAAGCUACCACAGCUGUAAAAUUCAAAAUAAACAUUUAUCUGUAAUUCUGUUUCUAAACUUAUAGCCAGCAAAAUUCUAAAACCAAAAUAUCUCUUUUCAAAAGGAGUCAAAGCUUCUAAAGUUAGGUCAUUUGCCUAAGUGUAAUUAAAAGCAAAGUUUCUUGCUAUCUGCUUUAAUGUACAUAAAUAUACUGACAAGGAUGUGUAUCACGGGUUUAAAAAUGCAAAUUUCUAUUAACAGAACCUCAUUUCUCAUUAGUGUAAGGUGAGAUAGAGACUUAGUGAUGUUUCAAGGAUCUUUUUCCUGUAGCAAUUAAGUUACAUGAGGAAAUGCUGCAUAUUUGGUAAAGUAGUUUUAAUUUCCUACUCUUGAAUAUAAAGUCAUUGAUCUCAUUAAUGCUAGGAGAAAGCAAUCAAAUUGCUUUCUGAUACAUUAGAAGGUAGAAUUUUUCCCUUGAGGAUGACUUUUUAAUCAUGUUGCAUAAACACUUUAUUCUCUGCCUUUUAAAAGUACUUCUGUUAUUUUCAGUUCAAAUUCCCGAGAUUUUACUGUAAAUGUUUGAAAUUGUCUUCUAAUACCAAACAUUAAAAUACCUUUACUAAUUUGCUCUCUCAUUUUUUCUAUGUAAAUUAGCCUCAAAUUAUUCUUAAUUCUCAAACUUGAAUUUCUUUAAUCCUAUUUUUCUAAUAUUGUGACUGCGAAUGGCAGGGAAUAACAAGGUGUUAACAGCUGUGACUUUAUACUUGAUUAAAAGCACAGAACCAUAACUUUGUGAUGCAACUUUAAGUCCUGUUGCUGCCAGAGGAGACUUUAGAGACUGAACUCUACCUGGUUUGUUUAUUUUUGAGAUGGUUUUGAUUUAUAUAAUGCUUUAUGCAGUGUGGCCGUGGUCUGAAGCAGGCCUUCCAGGCACUGUUGUGGUAUAGAUAUGUAUAAUAUUAACUCUCUUAUAUAGUACAUUCUUCUUCCAGUUGGCUUUAUGAAUUAUUUUUUCUUCAAAUGUACUGUACUAGUUUACUAUCCUCCUCCUCCCAUAUGUAUUUUAAUUUACCAUUUACAACCUUGCCUAAGUCAUUUUAAAAUAUUAUUUGUCAUUAGUGGGGUUUAGAACAUGUUCUAGAUUAAUAUAGUUUUUUUUUAGCAAUUUAAAAGACAAAUAGAUGGCUAAAUAUAAAAGUGAGACAUAAAACAUUGUUAUCUAGUGUGAUACCUUCUGUGAUUGUGGAUUUGUUUUUUGUUUUGUUUUUCUCCAGUUUUCUUGGAGACUGCUGAUUACAGACUUGAUUAAGUUGUCACACUGGUUGGCAGUUAUCUACCAGAGAUUAACCUUACUCCCUUUAUGUGGAAGAAGGUAUGUCAUAUCAAUGCCUUGUGUGGUCUGUACCAUGCAAGCUAUAUAGGGUAAUAUUAUUUUUCCAUGGUUAUAGAGAGAAUUGCUUUUAAUUUUCAACAGGGUCAGUGAGUCUUUAUUUACUAAAAACCAUAAUUCAACAUACCAAGAAGAUGCUGCUUUUGAAAUAUCAGAAGUUGAGAAACUUUAGCAGCUGAAAGCACACUCUGGGACAAUGUAACAAUCCACUUGCUCUCUGCUUGUACUGUUACCUUGUAAUCUGUUUCUCCAGUUCUGGAGAAAGUAUACUGUGCUCCAUGGAGUGUUAAUGUGACUGCAUAUAGAAUCAUAGAACUGUUUGAUCUGGAAGAAACCUUAUGGAGGCUGUCUAGUUCAACUCACCUGCAAUGAACAGGGAUACCUACAGCUCCAUCAGGUGCUCAGAGACCCUCCAGCCUUAUUUUGGAAUCCAGGGAGUAGGGCAUGCCUCACCACUCUCGUUGUUAAAAAAAAAAAACUACUACUUUUAUUUCCAUUCUAAAUCUCCCCUCUUUUAGUUUGAAACCAUUUCUCCUUUUCCUGUCACAGCAGACCCUGCUAAAGAGUCUGCCCUCUUCAUUCUUUCAGCCCCCUUUUAGAUAUUGAACUGUCACUCUCUGGUUUCUCUAGAGCAUUCUCCAGGCUGCACAGCCCCAACUCUCUCAGCCUGUCUCUGUAGGGAGGUGUUCUAUCCCUUGUGUCAUUUUUGUGGCCCUCCUCUGGAUGCAUUCCAACAGUUCUGGGUCUCUUCUCUACUGAAAACUCCAUAUCUGGACACAGUGCUCCAGGUGAGGUCUCACAGCAUGGAGCAGAGGGGGCAGGAUCACCUCCCUGACCUGCUGGCUGUGAUUCUAUUAAUGCAUCACAGGGUAUUGUUGGCAUUCUGGGCUGUGAGGGCACACUGCUGGCCCAUGUCUGCUUUUACAUUCUGCCAGUAUCACAAAUUUCCUUGAUCUACAUAUGUGUACAAAGGAGGGAGAGAAGGAAUUUAAGGGAUAGCAUUGAAAAGUUUCCACAAAAUGUACUUUACUUAGUUUGCAUUAAGCAAGAAAGAAAAUAGAAAUGAGGUUAUAGAAUCUCUUAGAAACUUAAUUAAUUGAGCAAGAAUGAUAAUUAGAUGAUAUUUCUCCUAUUGUUCUGAAAAAGCCUAUUUGAAGACUUUGUGUAUAAUGCCAAACUUUAAUACAUCUGUCCAAUCAGGUUGUCUCCCAAGAAUCUGUAUUUUGGAAUUGUAAUACAUGUCAGUGCUACAAACUCAGGGUCCAGUAAUGAUCUUCCUGAAGUUAAAAGCUGAAAAGCAGACAUCAGCAUGAGUUGGAUCUGCCCCAGAGUUUGACGGUGAUCACAUAGCUCUUUCUGUUUGUCAUUAACAAAAGUAAAGUUGUCAGGAGAAUUUGCUCUUUUGCUUCUAUUUGGUUUAUUGACUUUCCACUGUUAUGCUAAUAAAACUUUUGUCAGCAGAUGCAAAUAAGGCUUAGUUUAUCAACAGCAAAACUUUACACAACUUCUAUUUUUUUCCAUACAGUUACGUUUUGAGAGCUGAAUAGGAACCACAUGAAGAAGGCAGAUAUAAAUGUUCGUAAUACAAAUCUGCAAUGCUGUUUUUGCUGACCUUUCCUCCCCCUUCCCCAGUCAGGUAUGUCCUGUUAAUGAAAGGCUAUAGCCUUCCACAGAUUCUUAGAAAACUCAGAUGGUGUUUGAGGGAUAAAAAUUUGACACUGUAAUUUCCAACUGACUAAGAUCAGUUGGAAAGAAAAUGCAGGCAUAUCUAAACAAAUGACAAGGUCUUCCUGUGCUCAGGAUCCAAACUUAAUUACUGAUAUCCCUAUUAAAUGCCUUGAGAAAGGCUUGGGAGACUACUUAAACAAAUGCUUUCUCCUUUGCAUAGGUAACUAAAUCUAUUAUGUCCAUAAAAGCACAGUGUUACUGAGAGUAGAGACUGAAAAAUCUAUUGAAUUUCAGGGGGAAAUAAUGACUGGUUACAGCUGCAUAGCUAUCACAAAUGGUCAGGGAUUUGCCUUUAGCUGGGUUUCUCAGGGCUUGUACUUUGAGAAUAAGACCUUACGUACUCUUGCCAUCUAAUUUGAAGUUCUGUGUAUUAGUAACCAUGCCACCCUUAUUUGUAUCUCACAGUAUCGCAAACAGGUAUACAGAUUGUAAGGUAAAUAGGUAUAUGGGUAUAGGUACAGAGAAGUUAUUGUGUUACAAAGGAGUAAUGAAAUAAAGAGCUUACCCAUGUCCUGGGCUUGCUGAAGGGCUCCAAGAGGAGCGAUCUCCAGAGAGAGAUCCUUCUUCCUUGGGAGUCAGCCCUUAAAUGGGGUCUAGGAGAGGUGGAGCCAGGCUCCAUCCCUUCUGGUCACUCAAGUGAAACUGCGUUCACCUGUGCCCCUGCAGCUGAUUCAGUGCUUGCCUCAUGUGGUCAAUCAGAGGUUCAGGCUAUGAUUCAAUGGUUCCCAUACACUCACUUAUUACAAUAGAUAUAUUUACCAACCUGGGUUCAGUGAAUUACAUGGAAAACUGUCAUAAAGUACCCUUUCAUUAUAUGACGGGCUGAUUAAACUUGUAAUACCACUUGAACAUAAGGAAGCUAAGCUGACAAGAAGAAAUAUAUAUAAAAUGAAGACCUGAACUGCAGUUGCUCCUGUUUUUUUCCCCUUCAUCUGGGCAGGAAAAUAAACAAGUAAUCAUGUUAACUCCCUUUCAUUUGGUUAUUUUUAUAAUCAGCACCGGUUGUGCUUCUUGAAAGACCACCAAAUUUAUAUUAAAAUAUUUCUGUUUAUAAGAUAUGAUGUUAAAGGAUAAUAGAAUUAAAGGUAGAGAGCACCAGAGAAGCUUAAAAACAGUGAGGUCUUCUGCUAAUGCUGCUUGAGUGCACUGAUAUAGUGACAUCCUAACUCAAGCUAUAUCUCAGAUUGUUUUAAAAAAAUAAAUAUAUACCAAACUGUACACAUGAUCCACAACUUGCUAACCGUUUCCAUUUUACUUUGAAAAAUCAGUCCACUUUCUAAAGAUUAAAAAUUAAUGUAGAAAAUGGAAAUGGCUGGAGUUCAACAAUAACAUUUUAUUAUUACUUAAUUAGAUCGUUCUUUAGUUGGGAGAUCUUUAAUCAGAAAUAACACUUCUGGUCCUUUUUUCCUUUGCUCUCUUGCUGACAGAAUUCACACCUGUAAGGAUUUUGUUUAAACAAAUAAACAAAAACACAACAAAUCAUUUGUUGUUCUUUAAGAUUCUUAUAUUUUAAAUACCUAUAGGAAAUGUUUUCCAUUAGAUGAAGAAUAAGAGGCAAAUGUUAUUGUGCAUACCCAUAUUUGGCAUUUCAUGAUAUUCAGCCAAAAAAAUCAAUGUGACCCAUAUGUUGAAACAGUAUGCUUUUGGGGCAUUUUUUUCUGUAGUGCACUACAAAUGAGUAUAUGCAUUUCUCUUCUCAUGUUUGCCUUUGUAGAAAAUACAGAAUAGUAUUUUUUCAGAGUAGUGUAAUUGUUUUUUCUUCUUUGUCUGCAUUAGUCUCUGCAGAGGGUGGAGUAAAUGUGAUUGGUCCUCUUUGUCUUCACUGUGGCUGUUGUCAGCAGGAUGGAUGCGAAGUGAACCUUGUGAAUUAUCUUGUUUCAGACUCUAGACUACCUAUGAAAAAUGGAAGCAGAUGGUAGAUAGUGGAAGUGUAGCAGUAGUAUCUCAUGAUAUAUAUGUGUUCCUCUUUGUCAUUGUCUCCAUCAUGAGUGUGUGUUCUUGCAGAAAGUUUGAACAUAAAAAUACAAGAGAAUGUGAGGAAAUAUCUAGGUGGAUGAUUUUACAGAAGCUUCUUUUAAUUCAUUUUUUAUCUGUUCCCUUGUAACCCACAUUUCUACAGCUGUAUUCAAUAAGUGUAGCUUAGGUAAAGAGAUUACUCUUUGUCUUAUUUGUGGUCUAUGUGUCAUCAUGUCUUGGUUUUAAUAGUAAAUGAUGCUCACCCAAAAAUCCCUUUACUUAGCAUAGAACUCAUGGAAUUGAGUGAGAUUAACUCUCCCUUAUUGCACCAUUCAGUUUGACUCAAGUAGGGUAAACACCAAUAAGACACAAGUUGUGAGCGUUGUGGAUGCACAGGAUUUGAAUUGUGUUAUUCAACCUGCUUCUUAUGUUAAGAAAGUUUGUGACAAACUCACAAGAUUAUGGGAUGAAGAGAACAUAGUGUCAUGGAUGACGUGCCUUGACUUGCAGGUUUUAUGACUUAACAAUCCAAAAUUCAGUUACUGUGUGUUGUUAUACUAAGGUGAGCUCUAAAAAAUGGCUAAUUGAUUUCAAAGAGUAAGAAUUGAUUAAUUCUUGAUUAAUCUAAUUAAAUCUUGAUUAAAUCUUGAUUAAUUCUAAUUGCUGGUGUGUUGAAACUGGGAGAAGAAUUGAUAAGGAAUUGAUAAAGAAUUGCAAUUUCUGUCAAACUUGUUGGGCCUUGAAGUUCUUAAUUACCUAGAAAAGAUGUGGUAACCUCUAAUUACUGGAGUUUUUCACAGUGCUGAACUGAAAGUAAGCUAGAAAUGCCAGCUCUCCUUGAAUCAAUGAAAUUAGAAAUAAAGAUUGAAAAUGAUAGUCUUUGCCAAAUGAAAGGUUAAAAUAUAAACAAAAACAAAUAAAUAUGAAGAAAAGGAAGACACAUGUUCAUUGUGGAAGAGAACUCCCAAAACCCUAGCACAGAAUGGAGAGGAAGGGCAGUUAGAAAUAAUUUUGCGAAGUGGUAUUUCAGGAAAAUGCUAUUGAAUUGUUGCUGAUGUGGAGACUCUCGAAGGCCCUGCAUGAUAUGUAAAGCUUGGUCAUUGUUCUAUGGUGUAUGGCUGUGUUAAGAUUGAACAUGGACUGCAGUGUUCAGUGAGAGACAUCUUGUUGAUGGAAUUCUGAUAAAGGAAAAGGGAUAUAAUGAAAUCCAUUUCCACCUUUGCAUAGGAGAGUCUCAUAAAAGCUCAUUCACUUAUUCAUGUUUACAUUUCCAUAUUUGAGGCAAGACUUUAACAAGAAGUCUGAUGACUUUGAGAGAACUUAACAGCUUUUCCCUUUUGCCUCACCAGCAGCUUUCUGGUGUAGCUACAAAGUGAACCACCAUAUGCCUCAGGCUUCAGUUCUGCUGUAUCUUCUGCUUUAAUUUAAUAGUCACAUAAUUGCAUUAUCUUCUCCAGAUGUGGUUUCGUUAGGUCUGGCUAGAAUUCUAUUUGGCAUAAAAUUUUGAGAUCUUAGAACUUAUGUUCAUACAACUUUGGGAAAAGAUAGGGAUGUGGACUAGAAAAGACUAAAAGAAUAUCAUGAUAGAGAAGAAACAGUGCAAUGGGGAAAUGAUUUGCUUUGCAGUUUGGACUUUGCAAAAGCUGUUUUUUAACUCUUGGCCACAGAAUGUUUUGAUAAAUUGAUGUUUAUGUGCACAAAAAAGGUGGCUCUAUGGAGGAGGUAGUGUAGGUCCCUUAUUUAACUCAGAGACAAGAUGAUGCUGGGAGCCAUUUUCCCAGCAGUGAAACAGCAUUCCAACAGUGAAUAGUGAAUGAGCAAAGAUAUAUUUCUGUUUGGGCUUAUUCUGUUGCUUCGUAUUUAGUCUGUUUGCAGCGGGCGUAUUAAUAUCACCAUGACUUUUAUUAGUUCAAAUCCCACAUGAAACUAUUAAGUAGGCACUGACUUUGUUGCUAUUGCUCUGGAUGUUGUGGCUUUAUAGUUGAAAUAUAAUGGUUAAAUGGGGUGUAGCAUUCUCUGUGGCCAUCUGUUUUUUAAAGGUUUGUUCUGGCAAAAUUAAAAUAGACAUAUGCAUAUAAAUAAAAACCAUUUUUUUUCUCUUAAAUAAACAUCCAAAAAGAUUCAAAUGCCAAACAAUUACUUUCAUUUGCUUUCUUCUUGUGGGUGAAUUUAUGUUUCCUAGAACACAGAGAAACAAACAUAGUUUUUCUGUAUAAUUAUAUUGCAGAUAAAUAUUUGAUUCUGCAUCUGCUGUGCAAUCUUAAUCAGAUUGUUGCAAUCCAGUUAUGAAAAAAAUUCAUUGUAUUCUUCCUCAUUUUAAAAAAAAGAAGUCCAACUAAAAAUGGGACUGGAGAGUUGCACUUUGAAAAGGGCAAUCCUCGUGUCUCAGUUUAAUUGCAGUUGUACCAUUUUUUAUUCUUUUGUUCUGGAGGAAUGCAGUGUGAAAUCUUCUGAUUUUUCCAAAGUGACUAGUGGCAUUAGAUGCCUUGCUAGAAGAGUCUACAAGUUUUCAAUGUGAAAAAUGUAGGAAAAUGUGAAUUAUCUUUUCUUUUUCAGACAAGCGAGUUUUAUUCUCUGCUUACACACUGAAAAUUGGAAACAGUUUGUCACUUUUUCCUGUGUUCUGUGAAAAGGGAAUAUAUAUUUUUAGAUUUUUUUUUAAUGCACAUACAUGCAAGGGAAAACCUAUUGAUGCUAGUGAGCCUUUCUUCCAGGAAAGGGAAGGGGAGGACCAAUCUUUUGAUAAAGGAGAUUCAGGAUGAACCACAACCUUCUAAAACAAACAAGAAUGAAUUCCAAGGCCAGCCCUCAAGAGUCCCUGACCAAGGAGACCAGGAAGAAAGUCUGGAGUAAGGAAGAGUUUCCCUUGGUUAAGAAGGAUCAGAUUAGUGAUGAUUCAGGUAAACUUGACAUCCACAAGUCCAUGGGCCCUGAUAGAAUGCAUCCAUGAGUGCUGAGAUAGCUGGUGGACUACAUUACCAGGCCACUCUUGAUCAUCUUUAGAAGGUAAUGGCCAUCAGAAGAGAUGCAUGAAGUCUGGAAGAAAGCAAAUGUGACCCUCGUCAUCAAAGGGCAAGAAGGAAGACUCACAAAACUACAGGCCAGUCAGCCUCAUCUCAGUCCCUGGAAAGGGGGGUGGAACAGUCAUCCUGGAGGCCAUCUCUGAGCGUGUAGAAGACAAGAAGGUGAUCAGGAGUAGUCAGCACAGAUUUAUCAAAGGGAAAUCAUGCUUAACCAAACUGAUUCCGCUUCUAUGAUAGGAUAACUGGUUGCAUAGAUAAGGGGAGAGCAGUGGAUGUUGUCUACCUUGACUUCAGCAAGGUUUUUGAUACUGCCUCCUAUACUAUCCUCAUAUUGUGAUGGACAGUGUGUUGACCAUGAGUCAGCCACGUGCCUUUGUGGCCAAGAAGGCCAUUGGUAUCUGAGUUGCAUUAGAGCAUUGCCCUCAGGUUGAGGGAGGUGAUCCUCCCACUCUACUCAGUCCUGGUGAGGCCUCGCCUAGAGUACUGUGUACAGUUCUGGGCUUCCCAGUGCAAGAUAUGGACAUACUGGAGAGAGUCCUGUUGAGGGCAACUAAAACAAUUAAAGGACUGUAGCACUUCUGCUAGGAGGAAAUACUGAGGGACCUGGACCUGUACAGCUUAGAGAAGGCUCUGGGGGAGUAUCAUCAAUGUGUAUCUGAAGGGAGGUAGUCAAGAGGAUGGUCUCCCACUGACUCUUCUCAGUGUGGUGCACAGUGAUAAGGCAAGAAGAAACAGGCACGGACUGAAACACAGAGAAGUUCUGGCUGGAGAAGUAAAAGCUUCUUUACUGUAAUGGUAACUGAGCACUGGAAGAGACUGCCCAGAGAAGCUGUGGAAGCUCCUUCCCUGGGAUCUUCAAAAGCAGCCUUUACACAAUCCUAGGUGAUGUGCUCCAGGGAACCAAGCUUGAGCAGAGAGGUUGGACUAGUUUAUCUCCAGAGGUUCUUUCCAGCCUCAGAAGUAAAGAAAAAAAUAUGAUAGAAAUAUCUCAGUUACAAUAUCAAUAAUGUCCAUGAAGUAUUGUAUUCUUGCAUUUAUCUUUGCAAAAGCGAUGCUCAGGUAGAGCUUUGCAUUCACACUUCAUGAAAAUGUUUGUUAACAGCUCUUGAAUUCAAGCAUCUGGGUGCAGAUAAUUGCCUCUAGGCCAGUACUACCCUUUGGAUUUGGAGAUAUUUCGAAGUAUUGAAUGCUAAAUCGUUGACUCAGAUGACUAUAAGUUUUCUCAGUCAGUUUUUAUGGAUAAGAGAGCUCUGGAGAAGAAGUAGAACAUGCUGAACAGGAAACUUUAUUUUACUGAUUGCUUAGUAAGUGAAGGGACAUUUAUUAACCAAAUAAAUCAACACCACCCAUGGCAGCUUGCCCCUGAAGUAUCUACUAAGGAGAGAGAGAUGAAAAAACCAUGAGGAAAAAAUUAUCUGGUGUGUGCUCUGCCUUUCUGCUUGCAAUUUUCUAGAAUGUAUUCAUUAUUCAGCAGUAUUCACCAAACAGUGUCUGCAAGAUAUACUUCAAAUGAAGAGUAUUUUUCACUAGUUGGGGGGAACCAGUUUUUUGUUCUUUGUCUUUGAUCCCUUACUCAAAAUGUCCAUGGUUCACAAAUGAGACACCAAAGCAUUACAAAGAUACAAAUCAAUAGUAGUAUGAAUCACCUGUGGUAUUCCUGUAGCUUGACUUUGGACCCUCCAUAAUGACCUCCACAGACAUCAGUGGCAUUCAGAAGAAAACUUAAUACCUAUUUUUCAUCAUAAACGUUUGAGACUGCCACUUUAAAACACAUUAGGCACAUUUUCUAUACCCAUUUUUUACAAAUAUUUGCUUCAGUGGCUCUCUCCCAUUAAAUGUUUUGCUAGAGUAUCUGUUGAAAGUGAAUUGUAAGGAAGAUACAAACCCACCUGAAACUAAUCAAGGACUUGAACAGAUACAAUUAAGAAAUAGUGUUUUCCUGUAACUGUAACCCAGGGUCUAUGUUUUUAGGUAUUUUUCCCCAUCUUUCUAUUUUGUAAGUGUUCUAGCUGUGGAGCUGUAUAAGAAAGUACAAACCAAGAUCAUCAGUAGUGAAAUCUUGCUUUGGAAAUGUUUAGAAUAUUUUCAGAAAGAUAACACAAGUG
This 24621-nucleotide long non-coding RNA is filed under the name Gallus gallus (chicken). The record is from RNAcentral. Lineage: Eukaryota; Metazoa; Chordata; Aves; Galliformes; Phasianidae.